Molecule: ribosomal RNA, 251 nt
Filed under: uncultured Streptococcus sp.
Lineage: Bacteria; Bacillati; Bacillota; Bacilli; Lactobacillales; Streptococcaceae
Description: partial 16S ribosomal RNA
Rfam family: Bacterial small subunit ribosomal RNA
Source: RNAcentral
GAGUUGCGAACGGGUGAGUAACGCGUAGGUAACCUGCCUGGUAGCGGGGGAUAACUAUUGGAAACGAUAGCUAAUACCGCAUAAUAUUGACUAUUGCAUGAUAUCUGCUUGAAAGGUGCAAUUGCAUCACUACCAGAUGGACCUGCGUUGUAUUAGCUAGUUGGUGGGGUAACGGCUCACCAAGGCGACGAUACAUAGCCGACCUGAGAGGGUGAUCGGCCACACUGGGACUGAGACACGGCCCAAACUCC